RNAcentral lists this transfer RNA (76 nucleotides) under Sediminivirga luteola. RNAcentral's name for it is "tRNA-Thr". It matches the Rfam family "tRNA". From Rfam's summary of the family: Transfer RNA (tRNA) molecules are approximately 80 nucleotides in length. Lineage: Bacteria; Bacillati; Actinomycetota; Actinomycetes; Micrococcales; Brevibacteriaceae. The record is from RNAcentral.
GCCGCCUUAGCUCAGCUGGUAGAGCAACGCUCUUGUAAAGCGUAGGUCGUCGGUUCGAACCCGACAGGCGGCUCCA